GUAAGGAAUAUUGGACAAUGGACGCAAGUCUGAUCCAGCCAUGCCGCGUGAAGGAUUAAGGUCCUCUGGAUUGUAAACUUCUUUUAUAAGGGACGAAAAAAGGCUUUUCUAAGUCGUCUGACGGUACCUUAUGAAUAAGCACCGGCUAACUCCGUGCCAGCAGCCGCGGUAAUACGGAGGGUGCAAGCGUUAUCCGGAUUCACUGGGUUUAAAGGGUGCGUAGGCGGGCAGGUAAGUCAGUGGUGAAAUCCUAGAGCUUAACUCUAGAACUGCCAUUGAUACUAUCUGUCUUGAAUAUUGUGGAGGUAAGCGGAAUAUGUCAUGUAGCGGUGAAAUGCUUAGAUAUGACAUAGAACACUUAUUGCGAAGGCAGCUUACUACGCAUAUAUUGACGCUGAGGCACGAAAGCGUGGGGAUCAAACAGGAUUAGAUACCCGAGUAGUCC
Molecule: ribosomal RNA, 445 nt
Filed under: uncultured bacterium
Lineage: Bacteria
Description: partial 16S ribosomal RNA
Rfam family: Bacterial small subunit ribosomal RNA
Source: RNAcentral